GCCGGUUUUAUCGCUAGUUGUUGUUGAUAUCGCUGCGCCUCAGCCAGCUAGUCAGCGGAAUGUGGUCAGUUUCGGUUUGCUUGGAUGACGAUCGCGUGCGUAUUUCGCGGCUCUGUUCAUUUAGUCUAUGUGUUUUUAUCGCACUGUUUAAUAUCGACCAUUGAUUAUAUUUCAUUUGUUAUUGGAGUGCAGGGGUGAAUGAAAUGCUACAGUCCGUCGGUAUAUUGCAUUUUUGAGCGGUGUGUGUGUGUGUGUGUGUGUGUGUGUGUGUGUGUGUCUGUGGCGUUCUAACACCGUGAUGUCUUUGGUUCUAUUGUGCCGGAUCGUUGGAUUCAUGGUUGUCGUCACUACUCGUCGCAGUUAAUAAACAAAUAAGUUUAUUACUUAUUUAUAAAGUAUUUGCCGUGCCUUGGAGUCCGAUGUGAUCUGCAUUGUACUUUCUAUGAUUACCUGAUGCACUGGUAAGUUUGUAAACGUUAUUACAUUAUACUUUCAUAUUUAUCUAAAAUUGCAUGUAACGUGAAUACCGUAACAACACAAAAUUGAUGCGUGCCGUCGGAUGCGACUUGGAUCUACCCGCAGAGUAUGGUCAUGUCAAUCAUCGGUUUAAUAACGUGAAAUUUUCCUUGCUUGCAUUUUUAUUUUUAUUUCAUAAAUCUGCCGGCUCUUUAACGUAUUUUCGUAGUUUGGCAAUUAAUUAUUGAGAGUAAUAUAUUUGUAAAAUAUUUGUAAUAUAUUUGUAAAAUGUA
Molecule: long non-coding RNA, 749 nt
Organism: Dalotia coriaria
Lineage: Eukaryota; Metazoa; Arthropoda; Insecta; Coleoptera; Staphylinidae
Exons: 3
Source: RefSeq, a predicted model, not a curated record